RNAcentral lists this transfer RNA (74 nucleotides) under Rhodospirillaceae bacterium. Its description in RNAcentral is "tRNA-Ile". It matches the Rfam family "tRNA". Rfam says of the family: Transfer RNA (tRNA) molecules are approximately 80 nucleotides in length. Lineage: Bacteria; Pseudomonadati; Pseudomonadota; Alphaproteobacteria; Rhodospirillales; Rhodospirillaceae. RNAcentral also lists the same sequence under 2 other names. The record is from RNAcentral.
GGGCAUGUAGCUCAGUUGGUUAGAGCGCAUCUCUGAUAAGGAUGAGGUCGGAGGUUCAAAUCCUCCCAUGCCCA